RNAcentral lists this ribosomal RNA (305 nucleotides) under uncultured bacterium. RNAcentral describes it as "bacterial SSU rRNA". It matches the Rfam family "Bacterial small subunit ribosomal RNA", at positions 334 to 657 of the family's 1533-position model. The record is from RNAcentral.
UCUUCCUACGGGGGGCAGCAGUGGGGGAUAUUGCACAAUGGAGGAAACUCUGAUGCAGCGACGCCGCGUGAGGGAAGACGGUCUUCGGAUUGUAAACCUCUGUCUUUGGGGAAGAAAAUGACGGUACCCAAAGAGGAAGCUCCGGCUAACUACGUGCCAGCAGCCGCGGUAAUACGUAGGGAGCGAGCGUUGUCCGGAAUUACUGGGUGUAAAGGGUGCGUAGGCGGCCUGCUAAGUCUGGAGUGAAAGGUACCGGCUCAACCGGUACAGGCUCUGGAAACUGGCGGGCUAGAGAGCAGGAGAGG